Molecule: ribosomal RNA, 506 nt
Filed under: uncultured bacterium
Lineage: Bacteria
Description: partial 16S ribosomal RNA
Rfam family: Bacterial small subunit ribosomal RNA
Source: RNAcentral
AGUGAACGCUGGCGGUAGGCCUAACACAUGCAAGUCGAACGGCAGCACAGGAGAGCUUGCUCUCUGGGUGGCGAGUGGCGGACGGGUGAGGAAUACAUCGGAAUCUACUCUGUCGUGGGGGAUAACGUAGGGAAACUUACGCUAAUACCGCAUACGACCUACGGGUGAAAGCAGGGGACCUUCGGGCCUUGCGCGAUUGAAUGAGCCGAUGUCGGAUUAGCUAGUUGGCGGGGUAACGGCCCACCAAGGCGACGAUCCAUAGCUGGUCUGAGAGGAUGAUCAGCCACACUGGAACUGAGACACGGUCCAGACUCCUACGGGAGGCAGCAGUGGGGAAUAUUGGACAAUGGGCGCAAGCCUGAUCCAGCCAUACCGCGUGGGUGAAGAAGGCCUUCGGGUUGUAAAGCCCUUUUGUUGGGAAAGAAAUCCAGCUGGCUAAUACCCGGUUGGGAUGACGGUACCCAAAGAAUAAGCACCGGCUAACUUCGUGCCAGCAGCCGCAGUAA